GAGAACAGGAAGCUGAAGCUCAUUGAGGAAAAUGACAAAAUAAUGAGGAUAUUAAUGCAUGGUCUCAACACUACAUGCUAACUACUUCCUGAUGGAGUUGUGGUCAAAGGUGUUGUCCUUUGCAAAUUUCUCCAUGAAGGACAGAUGAUACUGAAUGGUCCAACUACUUGGGGUGUGCCGUGGUCAUGAAACCAGUCCCAAUCUUCGCCACACCGGGUGCAGGUAGAACCUCAGUACAUGGUGGUGUUUGUGUACCAAGCAUUUACGCUCACCUCGAUGCAGCUACACACAAAGGUGACCAUCAGGGUGAGGGUGGCAUUGAUAUGUUCUUCCCCCCCUUACCCAGAGUUUUGUACAUGGUAUCCCUGCUGACACAGACCAUCUUAGACCUCCAGAUGAAGUGGAAGAUGGCUCAGGUGACUGCAAUGGCACAGGUUUUGGGAAUUGGCCGGACCUGAGCCAUGUACAACAGACAGAGUGCCUCACACCUGAUGACCAGAUUUUUACCUGCAAUGGAGACGGAGUGGUGUUCCCAACAGUCCAGAGUCUGCCUCACCUUGGCGAUGCGCUCCUCUCAAGAUUUUGUGCAUGCUCCGGCCCCUCCUGAACCAUAUUCCCAGUACCUUCAGGUAAUCUGUCCUGACAGUGGCAGUGACAGAGUCAUCCAGGUCCCAAAGAACAUGGCUGUGCUGUUGUCUCGAUUUACCCUGGCUUCUGAGGCCAGUAUGGAACUGAUUGCAGAUGUUCAUGAGCACUAACAGCUGAUCCAAGCAGAAAACAGCUACAUCAUCCAUGUACAGGGAGACUUUGACCUGUAGGCCUCUGCUGCCAGGAAUAAUCACCACUCUCUGGCUCACAUCCUUCUUGAUGGGCUCAACAAAAGGCGCUAUACACCACAGAAACAAAGCAAGACAGAGUGGGCAGUCUGACUCUGAUGGGGAGGCUCACUGAUUGUAGCCUGUUGAAGGCUGGUUUCUGUCAGAGACUGAUUCCCAGAAACCUUCUUUGAGGUUCAGGUAUUUUAGUUGCCAAAACCACUUUGCAAUGCAGCCCCAACUCGGUAUUUGUGAGUUCCGAAGAAAGCACUCACAAAUUUUUAGCUUAACUGGAACUUUGGUCCUCUCUUUGUAACUCUGAUUAAUAGAUUUUAUUUGAACAGAUUGAAACAUAUCUUAAAAUGCAUUAAAAAGUGCAAUUCUCCAUGGA
Long non-coding RNA from Stegostoma tigrinum, 1206 nucleotides. RefSeq lists it as uncharacterized. The record is from RefSeq and is a predicted model, not a curated record. NCBI's taxonomy places the organism in Eukaryota, Metazoa, Chordata, Chondrichthyes, Orectolobiformes, Stegostomatidae. The transcript is spliced from 2 exons.